AGUGAACGCUGGCGGUAGGCCUAACACAUGCAAGUCGAACGGCAGCACAGUAAGAGCUUGCUCUUACGGGUGGCGAGUGGCGGACGGGUGAGGAAUACAUCGGAAUCUACUUUUUCGUGGGGGAUAACGUAGGGAAACUUACACUAAUACCGCAUACGACCUACGGGUGAAAGCAGGGGAUCUUCGGACCUUGCGCGAUUGAAUGAGCCGAUGUCGGAUUAGCUAGUUGGCGGGGUAAAGGCCCACCAAGGCGACGAUCCGUAGCUGGUCUGAGAGGAUGAUCAGCCACACUGGAACUGAGACACGGUCCAGACUCCUACGGGAGGCAGCAGUGGGGAAUAUUGGACAAUGGGCGUAAGCCUGAUCCAGCCAUACCGCGUGGGUGAAGAAGGCCUUCGGGUUGUAAAGCCCUUUUGUUGGGAAAGAAAAGCAGCAGGUUAAUACCCCGCUGUUCUGACGGUACCCAAAGAAUAAGCACCGGCUAACUUCGUG
Molecule: ribosomal RNA, 492 nt
Filed under: uncultured bacterium
Lineage: Bacteria
Description: partial 16S ribosomal RNA
Rfam family: Bacterial small subunit ribosomal RNA
Source: RNAcentral